RNAcentral lists this ribosomal RNA (497 nucleotides) under uncultured bacterium. RNAcentral describes it as "bacterial SSU rRNA". It matches the Rfam family "Bacterial small subunit ribosomal RNA", at positions 15 to 518 of the family's 1533-position model. The record is from RNAcentral.
GAUUAUGGCUCAGGAUGAACGCUGGCGGCGUGCUUAACACAUGCAAGUCGAACGGAGCUUAAGAAGGAAGCUUGCUUCAUUUAAGCUUAGUGGCGGACGGGUGAGUAACGCGUGAGCAACCUGCCCUUCAGUGGGGAAUAACACCGAGAAAUCGGUGCUAAUACCGCAUAAUGUCGGAGGACCGCAUGAUCUUCCGACCAAAGGAUUUAUUCGCUGAAGGAUGGGCUCGCGUCCGAUUAGGCAGUUGGCGGGGUAACGGCCCACCAAACCAACGAUCGGUAGCCGAACUGAGAGGUUGAUCGGCCACAUUGGGACUGAGACACGGCCCAGACUCCUACGGGAGGCAGCAGUGGGGAAUAUUGGGCAAUGGGCGAAAGCCUGACCCAGCAACGCCGCGUGAAGGAUGAAGGUCUUCGGAUUGUAAACUUCUUUGAUUGGGGAAGAAUAAAUGACCUACCCAAAGAACAAGUCACGGCUAACUACGUGCCAGCAGCAGC